AUUCCAGCUCCAAUAGUGUAUAUUAAAGUUGUUGCAGUUAAAAAGCUCGUAGUUGGAUUUCUGGCGGGAGCGAUCGGUCCUUCACUCAGUGUUGGAACCUGAUUGUCUCCUGCCAUCCAUGGAGAAAACUUAUCUGGCAUUAAGUUGUCGGGUAGGCAAUCUCCAUCUUUUACUGUGAAAAAAUUAGAGUGUUCAAAGCAGGCUUAUGCCGUUGAAUAUAUUAGCAUGGAAUAAUAAGAUAGGACUUUGGUACUAUUUUGUUGGUUUGCGCACCAAAGUAAUGAUUAAUAGGGACAGUUGGGGGUAUUCGCAUUCCGUUGUCAGAGGUGAAAUUCUUGGAUUUACGGAAGACGAACUACUGCGAAAGCAUUUACCAAGGAUGUUUUCAUUG
Molecule: ribosomal RNA, 391 nt
Filed under: Rhizosolenia sp.
Lineage: Eukaryota; Bacillariophyta; Coscinodiscophyceae; Rhizosoleniales; Rhizosoleniaceae
Description: partial small subunit ribosomal RNA
Rfam family: Eukaryotic small subunit ribosomal RNA
Source: RNAcentral